Molecule: ribosomal RNA, 485 nt
Filed under: uncultured bacterium
Lineage: Bacteria
Description: bacterial SSU rRNA
Rfam family: Bacterial small subunit ribosomal RNA
Source: RNAcentral
AUUGAACGGCUGGCGGUAUGCUUUACACAUGCAAGUCGAACGGCAGCACGGACUUCGGUCUGGUGGCGAGUGGCGAACGGGUGAGUAAUGUAUCGGAACGUGCCCAGUAGUGGGGGAUAACUACUCGAAAGAGUGGCUAAUACCGCAUGAGAUCUCUGGAUGAAAGCGGGGGACCGUAAGGCCUCGCGCUACUGGAGCGGCCGAUAUCAGAUUAGGUAGUUGGUAGGGUAAGAGCCUACCAAGCCAACGAUCUGUAGCUGGUCUGAGAGGACGACCAGCCACACUGGGACUGAGACACGGCCCAGACUCCUACGGGAGGCAGCAGUGGGGAAUUUUGGACAAUGGACGCAAGUCUGAUCCAGCAAUACCGCGUGCAGGACGAAGGCCUUCGGGUUGUAAACUGCUUUUGUACGGAACGAAAAGCCUUCUUCUAAUACAGGGAGGUCAUGACGGUACCGUAAGAAUAAGCACCGGCUAACUACGUG